Molecule: ribosomal RNA, 158 nt
Filed under: Acinetobacter sp. Swhac1
Lineage: Bacteria; Pseudomonadati; Pseudomonadota; Gammaproteobacteria; Moraxellales; Moraxellaceae
Also listed under: 1 other name
Description: partial 16S ribosomal RNA
Rfam family: Bacterial small subunit ribosomal RNA (bases 46-158)
Source: RNAcentral
GAUGAGCCAGAUUUGGAAGUUUAGAUUAAAACUUCAAAAUGAUUUUAACUGAAGAGUUUGAUCAUGGCUCAGAUUGAACGCUGGCGGCAGGCUUAACACAUGCAAGUCGAGCGGGCGAGGUUGCUUCGGUAACUGAGCUAGCGGCGGACGGGUGAGUA